GCCGCCCUAGCUCAGUCGGUAGAGCAAUUCACUCGUAAUGAAUAGGUCAGGGGUUCGAUUCCCCUGGACGGCUCCA
RNAcentral lists this transfer RNA (76 nucleotides) under Gordonia sp. PP30. Its description in RNAcentral is "tRNA-Thr". It matches the Rfam family "tRNA". Rfam says of the family: Transfer RNA (tRNA) molecules are approximately 80 nucleotides in length. Their secondary structure includes four short double-helical elements and three loops (D, anti-codon, and T loops). Lineage: Bacteria; Bacillati; Actinomycetota; Actinomycetes; Mycobacteriales; Gordoniaceae. The record is from RNAcentral.